This 576-nucleotide long non-coding RNA is filed under the name Physcomitrium patens. RNAcentral's name for it is "long non-coding RNA (PPAT_LNC002795)". The record is from RNAcentral. Lineage: Eukaryota; Viridiplantae; Streptophyta; Bryopsida; Funariales; Funariaceae.
UUGAAGCAAUUAUUUAUUAUUCGAUUUUUUCAAAGAUAAUUUAUAAUCAUAAUACUGCUUUAAAAUUCCAAUCGCAUUUAUAAUCACAUUGUAUCAAAUUAGUAAAACCUAUCUCUUUGCAAUUAUUCUUAAAUUGCAAGAUUUUUUGCACAAGAGAUCUUGUAUGUAAUCUUGCAAGAAUACAUGCAAGAUUACAUUCAGGAAUACAGAACCAUGUAAUCUUGAUCUACCGUUUAUUUGCAAAAGAAGAUAUUUCCUUUUGAUCUUUUCUUCAUAGAUUUAUUUGUGAUCAAUACAACAUAAAAGAUACUUGAGUCUUACAAUGUCUUUGAUGCAUGUAGAGUUGAACGGCUAGGUUUCUUGAAAGGAAGCAUGAGACACACAAAAAAUUCCACUCAAAUUUCAUUUAUACUGUCUUAAAGAUCUCCAAUUCUGCAAGUUUAAAUAGAUUAUCAUUCAUUUCGUAUAAAAAUUCCACAAGAAACCAUCAAGAUGUUGCUAUAAUUUGAAUACUUUACUUUCCCAGUUCAAUUAGUUGUGCAUGGCUUGGUGAAAACAAUAUUUAAUAUAUAUAUA